RNAcentral lists this transfer RNA (73 nucleotides) under Araneus ventricosus. RNAcentral describes it as "tRNA-Thr". The record is from RNAcentral. Lineage: Eukaryota; Metazoa; Arthropoda; Arachnida; Araneae; Araneidae.
AACCAACAGCGAGAUUCGAACUCACGACCCCUGUUUUACGAGACCAUUGCUCUAGCCUCUGAGCUAUGGCGGC